Molecule: long non-coding RNA, 1077 nt
Filed under: Anser cygnoides (Swan goose)
Lineage: Eukaryota; Metazoa; Chordata; Aves; Anseriformes; Anatidae
Description: lncRNA (ENSACDG00005001533.1)
Source: RNAcentral
GAGGUAAUGUAUUAGUGAACAAAGAAUAAUGUUACAAGGAAAAAGACAGAAAUUUAUGUAGAGAACAGGUAUAUAGCAGAGUUUAUUAGAAAAUUAAAUGUUAUUUGCCUCACUAUCCUCUGAGUUGUUUGGUGAUUUGGCAGCAGUGAUUUAGAUGUCCUAAUUUAGUGAGAGAUGAAUGAAACCUACUUAUUUCCAUUGACUGUAAAGGGAACCCAGACAACUAGUUUGAAUGUACAUGUCUAUAUUGCAGAAAUCAAUUCUUGGCAGAUGAAAUUCUCUCCCCAAAUCCAAACUAAAUGAACAAUGACCAAAGAUCAAUUGCACAUUUUGGGUGAGCCCAGCAAUAUGGAAAAGGAGAAAAGCUGAUCUUGUGCUGCCGCUUAGUGAAGGCCUCAGACUGCAUUUAUUUGCUGGGUGUAUGGACUGGUCCUGGGUACAGGCCUGCAUGCUCAGUGUCUGGCUGUCCUUCUGCCGGGAGAUCUCAUAGUGAUAUCAACAAUGGGCAAACACAGAAACAACAUUUUUUUCUGUAAAAGGUUGUAUGCACUAUGUGAUUUCAGGAGAAGUAGUUGUGUUAACCUGGGCUAUUUUAAGAAGAGAGGUGGCACAUCACCCUGCCUUGGAUCCACUGGGGAGUCAGACGAGAGAUGGGCCAGAUGCUAUCCCCUUGACUCUUUGUAAACUUGGGCUACAUAAACGAAUGUUUCAGUUUGGAGCUUGAGCUCUGUUUCGUUACAACACACCUGACUCCUGGCACCACAUGGACACAAAUGCUGUUCCUGAGCAUGGGGAUCUGGAGGUCAGGAUCCCUUCACACCAAAAUCUGGUUUUUCUCUUAAGAGAUGAUGGUGUUUCACCCUAUGGUGAACUUGUAGAUGUCUCUUCAGGUAAGCAAGAAAAGGUCUGUGUGAACCAACUAGAUAAGUCUAGGAUAUUCUUUGUUGCAUCUAUUUGUGUCAUUGGUUUGCUGAUUUUUUGGAGCAAAAAUCCUGGAGCUGGUCCUGCUAUCAUAAUUUGAUCCAGAAUUUAACACUUCCAUUUAUUUUUAGGUUGCAUACUACCAUUUUAUUCUGU